GCGAAUCCAGAACAUGACAAGCCACCGGCAGAGUUCUUCGAGCAGAUCGACAAGAGACGCGUCGCGGCGGAGCGCGCGGGGUCUUACCCGGUCGAGCUCCCGAAGAAGGGAGAGGCCGCCGACGGCGAAGUAGGAGAGGGUGAGGUGGUUGACCUCCUGGGAGGCGUAUUCGUCGGGGAGCUCCGUGGCCAUGGCCUCGAAGAACGCCACGUGGUGCAGGCGCUCGAAAUCGCGCUUCCCCAUCUCCGGCGGUCGGCAGCCGAGAGCCCCUGGUCGCCGGCGGCGUCAGCGCCGCCGCGGUGCGCCACGAUCUGAGAAAGCCACGCGGACGCAACCAAUCGCCCAG
This 346-nucleotide unclassified non-coding RNA is filed under the name Zea mays. Its description in RNAcentral is "misc RNA Zm00001eb124360". Lineage: Eukaryota; Viridiplantae; Streptophyta; Magnoliopsida; Poales; Poaceae. The record is from RNAcentral.